GAAGAAGUUACAAAGGGCGAACGGAGGAUGCCUAGGCUUCUAUAGCGCGAAGAAGGACGUGGUAAGCUGCGAAAAGACGCGGGGAUCUGCAAACAGGAAUUGAUCCGCGUAUAUCCGAAUGGGGCAACCCGAUAUGUUGAAGACAUAUCACUGAGCAAUCAGAGCAGACGCAGGGAACUGAAACAUCUAAGUACCUGCAGGAAAAGAAAGAAACAUCGAUUCCCUAAGUAGUGGCGAGCGAACAGGGAAAAGCCCAAACCGGCCUUGUUUCGGCAAGGCCGGGGUUAUAGGACUGCGAGAUUAAAUGAUAGCAUUAAGCGGAAGGUUAUUGGAAAAUACCACCGGAGAGUGUGAAAGUCACGUAUGCGUACGAGUUAUUAAUUUAUAGCAGUAUCCUGAGUAAGGCGGGACACGAGGAAUCCUGUCUGAAAUCACGGGGACCAUCCCGUAAGGCUAAAUACGAAUAGAAGACCGAUAGUGAACCAGUACUGUGAAGGAAAGGUGAAAAGUACCCCGAACAGGGGGGUGAAAAAGUUCCUGAAACCGUUCGCUUACAAGCGGUCGGAGUUCUGUACAAAGUAUAGAAUGACGGCGUGCCUUUUGCAUAAUGAGCCUACGAGUUACAUUUCAUUAGCGAGGUUAAGGCGUUCAGCGCCGGAGCCGAAGCGAAAGCGAGUCUGAAAAAGGCGUUCAGUUAGUGGAAGUAGACGCGAAACCUAGUGAUCUACCCUUGAUCAGGUUGAAGGAGCCGUAACAGGCCCUGGAGGACCGAACCAGUUUCCGUUGAAAAGGAUUUGGAUGAAUUGAGGGUAGGGGUGAAAGGCUAAUCAAACUGGGAGAUAGCUCGUACUCCCCGAAAUGUCUUUUGGGACAGCCUCUGAGUGACCUUUAUGGAGGUAGAGCUACUGAUUGGAUGCGAGGGCUUCAUCGCCUAUCAAAUCCAGACAAACUCCGAAUGCCAUAAAGAACUCUCAGGGAGUGAGUCAUCGGGUGCUAAUGUCCGGUGGCGAGAGGGAAAGAGCCCAGACCAACAGCUAAGGCCCCCAAACGUGUGUUAAGUUGCAAGAACGAGGUUUUGUUGCCGCGACAGCUAGGAUGUUAGCUUGGAAGCAGCUAUUCAUUUAAAGAGUGCGUAACAGCUCACUAGUCGAGCGACAAAGCGUGGAUAAUAAACGGGCAUCAAGCACACUGCCGAAGCUAUGGAUUGGGGUAAGGUUCUAAAGAAUUUUACUACAAUGGUAGGGGAGCAUUCCAUGAGCGUAGAAUCUGUCUCGUAAGAGGUGGUGGAGCGCAUGGAAAAGAAGAUGUAGGCAUAAGUAACGAUAAUGCAGGCGAGAAACCUGCACACCGAAAGCCCAAGGUUUCCUGAUCAAUGUUAAUCAGAUCAGGGUUAGUCGGGUCCUAAGGCGAAGCCGAACGGCGUAGUUGAUGGACAAAUGGUUAAUAUUCCAUUACUUGUAUAUUGAGAGAAGGAGAGACGUAGGAGUGACACGCUCGCGAACGGACGGAAUAGUUCGUUAAAUCUUGUAGGUAUAAAUUCUCGUUAACAGCGAAAAUUUGCCGAGAAGAGACAGUACCGUACGGCUUCGGCCAAGCGGAUAGUAGCGGUAAUCAGACUACCAAGAAAAACUUCGUAUCGUUAAUUGAUAUACAACCCGUACCGUAAACCGACACAGGUGGGCGAGGAGAGAAUCCUCAGGUGCUCGAGAGAAUCAUGGCUAAGGAACUCGGCAAAUUGACCCCGUAACUUAGGGAGAAGGGGUCCCUGCAGCAAUGCAGGGCGCAGAGAAAUGGCCCAGGCGACUGUUUAACAAAAACACAGGGCUUUGCGAAAUCGAAAGAUGAUGAAUAAGGCCUGACACCUGCCCGGUGCCGGAAGGUUAAGAGGGGAUGUCAACCGCAAGGUGAAGCAUUGAAUCGAAGCCCCGGUAAACGGCGGCCGUAACUAUAACGGUCCUAAGGUAGCGAAAUUCCUUGUCGGGUAAGUUCCGACCUGCACGAAUGGUGUAACGAUCUGGGCGCUGUCUCAGCCAUGAGCUCGGUGAAAUUGUAGUCACGGUGAAGAUGCCGUGUACCCGCAACGGGACGAAAAGACCCCGUGCACCUUUACUGCAACUUAGCGCUGAUUUUGGAUACUUAAUGUAUAGGAUAGGUGGGAGACAAUGAAGCCGGAACGCCAGUUCCGGUGGAGUCGCCGUUGAAAUACCACUCUUUGAAUAUUUGGAAUCUAAUCCCGAAAGGGAGACACCGCUUGGUGGGUAGUUUGACUGGGGUGGUCGCCUCCAAAAAAGUAACGGAGGCUUUCCAAGGUUCCCUCAGCACGAAUGGUAACCGUGCGCAGAGUGUAUUAGCAAAAGGGAGCUUGACUGCGAGACAGACAAGUCGAACAGGUAGGAAACUAGGAUAAAGUGAUCCGGUGGUUCAGCAUGGGUUGGCCAUCGCUCAUAGGAUAAAAGGUACGCCGGGGAUAACA
Molecule: ribosomal RNA, 2473 nt
Filed under: Prevotellaceae bacterium
Lineage: Bacteria; Pseudomonadati; Bacteroidota; Bacteroidia; Bacteroidales; Prevotellaceae
Description: partial 23S ribosomal RNA
Rfam family: Bacterial large subunit ribosomal RNA
Source: RNAcentral